GACGAACGCUGGCGGCGUGCUUAACACAUGCAAGUCGAACGGAAAGGCCCUGCUUUUGUGGGGUGCUCGAGUGGCGAACGGGUGAGUAACACGUGAGUAACCUGCCCUUGACUUUGGGAUAACUUCAGGAAACUGGGGCUAAUACCGGAUAGGAGCUCCUGCUGCAUGGUGGGGGUUGGAAAGUUUCGGCGGUUGGGGAUGGACUCGCGGCUUAUCAGCUUGUUGGUGGGGUAGUGGCUUACCAAGGCUUUGACGGGUAGCCGGCCUGAGAGGGUGACCGGCCACAUUGGGACUGAGGUACGGCCCAGACUCCUACGGGAGGCAGCAGUGGGGAAUAUUGCACAAUGGGCGGAAGCCUGAUGCAGCAACGCCGCGUGCGGGAUGACGGCCUUCGGGUUGUAAACCGCUUUCGCCUGUGACGAAGCGUGAGUGACGGUAAUGGGUAAAGAAGCACCGGCUAACUACGUGCCAGCAGCCGCGGUGAUACGUAGGGUGCGAGCGUUGUCCGGAUUUAUUGGGCGUAAAGGGCUCGUAGGUGGUUGAUCGCGUCGGAAGUGUAAUCUUGGGGCUUAACCCUGAGCGUGCUUUCGAUACGGGUUGACUUGAGGAAGGUAGGGGAGAAUGGAAUUCCUGGUGGAGCGGUGGAAUGCGCAGAUAUCAGGAGGAACACCAGUGGCGAAGGCGGUUCUCUGGGCCUUUCCUGACGCUGAGGAGCGAAAGCGUGGGGAGCGAACAGGCUUAGAUACCCUGGUAGUCCACGCUGUAAACGGUGGGUACUAGGUGUGGGGUCCAUUCCACGGGUUCCGUGCCGUAGCUAACGCUUUAAGUACCCCGCCUGGGGAGUACGGCCGCAAGGCUAAAACUCAAAGGAAUUGACGGGGCCCCGCACAAGCGGCGGAGCAUGCGGAUUAAUUCGAUGCAACGCGUAGAACCUUACCUGGGUUUGACAUGGAUCGGGAGUGCUCAGAGAUGGGUGUGCCUCUUUUGGGGUCGGUUCACAGGUGGUGCAUGGCUGUCGUCAGCUCGUGUCGUGAGAUGUUGGGUUAAGUCCCGCAACGAGCGCAACCCUUGUUCACUGUUGCCAGCACGUUAUGGUGGGGACUCAGUGGAGACCGCCGGGGUCAACUCGGAGGAAGGUGGGGAUGACGUCAAGUCAUCAUGCCCCUUAUGUCCAGGGCUUCACGCAUGCUACAAUGGCUGGUACAGAGAGUGGCGAGCCUGUGAGGGUGAGCGAAUCUCGGAAAGCCGGUCUCAGUUCGGAUUGGGGUCUGCAACUCGACCUCAUGAAGUCGGAGUCGCUAGUAAUCGCAGAUCAGCAACGCUGCGGUGAAUACGUUCCCGGGGCU
Molecule: ribosomal RNA, 1346 nt
Filed under: uncultured bacterium
Lineage: Bacteria
Description: partial 16S ribosomal RNA
Rfam family: Bacterial small subunit ribosomal RNA
Source: RNAcentral